AUGGCGAUCGCCGUGAGCGGGCACUGGACGCGGCUGCGGACGCUCGGCUGCGGCGCGUCGGGGGCCGUGGUGUCGCUGGCGGCCGACGCCGCGUCGGGGGAGCUGUUCGCGGUCAAGUCCGUGCGCGCGGCGGACGCGGCGCAGCUGAGCCGGGAGCAGGGGAUCCUCUCCGCGCUCUGCUCGCCGCACGUCGUCGGCUGCAUCGGCGGCGGUGGCGACCGCGACGGCUCCUACCACCUCUUCCUCGAGUUCGCCCCCGGCGGCUCGCUCGCCGACGAGGCCGCCAGGAAUGGGGGCCGCCUGGAGGAGCGCGCCAUCCGGGCGUACGCGGCGGACGUCCUGCGCGGCCUGGCAUACAUCCACGGCAAGUCGCUCGUGCACGGCGACGUCAAGUCGAGGAACGUGGUGAUCGGCGCCGACGGGCGCGCCAAGAUCGCCGACUUCGGGUGCGCGAGGGCCCUCGGCGCGGCGGGGCCGAUCGGAGGCACGCCGGCGUUCAUGGCCCCGGAGGUGGCCCGAGGGGAGGAGCAGGGCCCGGCCGCCGACGUGUGGGCUCUCGGCUGCACGGUCGUCGAGAUGGCCACCGGGCGCGCGCCAUGGGGCAAGAUGGAUAACGUCCUUGCCGCUGUCCACCGGAUCGGGUACACGGACGCCGUGCCGGAGGUGCCCGCGUGGCUCUCAGCGGAGGCGAAGAGCUUCCUCGCCAUGUGCUUCGCGAGGAACGCCCGCGACCGGUGCACGGCGGCGCAGCUCCUGGAGCACCCGUUCGUGGCAUUGCAGGCAGGAGAGGCCAAGGCCAGGUGGGUGUCUCCCAAGAGCACGCUUGACGCCGCAUUCUGGGAAUCGGAGACCGAAGAGGAAGAGGAGGAGGAGGAGGUUUCAGAGAGCCCGUGCGAGAGGAUCAAGUCAUUGGCGUGCUCCGUCUUGCCGGACUGGGAUUCCGACGAAGGCUGGAUGGACGUGCUCGGCGAGCAGUGUGAAGCUUGCGAUUCACCAGCAACCAAGGGGCCGGCUGAUGUGUCCAGCAGGGCGCCAAGCAAAGUGCUCGGGUCCCCGGCGGUGCCAGCUGAAGACGUAGCUGUCGUCGGCACCCUUUCGAGUGAUGAACAUGAAUUGGACGCAGAGGAUGAACCUUUCGGCGACGAUAUCAUCCUAGCCGCUGAUCCUUUAGUGGACCGCCAGAUCGAAGUGCGUCCGAGCUCGGAUAGAGAUGUACUACUUUCAUCAUCACAUGUACCCUGUAAUAAUCGAAUCGUUGCAAUAGAAAAGUUUCGUUUUCCACAAAUCUUGCUGUGCCGUUCUGAUAGACUACGUACUGAAUUUCUACCCGUGCGUGGAGAACACAGUGCGUCUCCCUCUUUACACUCCAACUCAUAA
This 1377-nucleotide ribosomal RNA is filed under the name Triticum aestivum (bread wheat). Its description in RNAcentral is "partial small subunit ribosomal RNA". The record is from RNAcentral. Lineage: Eukaryota; Viridiplantae; Streptophyta; Magnoliopsida; Poales; Poaceae.